GAUGAACGCUGGCGGCGUGCCUAAUACAUGCAAGUAGAACGCUGAAGGAGGAGCUUGCUCUUUCCGGAUGAGUUGCGAACGGGUGAGUAACGCGUAGGUAACCUGCCUGGUAGCGGGGGAUAACUAUUGGAAACGAUAGCUAAUACCGCAUAACAGUAGAUAUUGCAUGAUAUUUGCUUGAAAGGGGCAAUUGCUCCACUACCAGAUGGACCUGCGUUGUAUUAGCUAGUUGGUGAGGUAACGGCUCACCAAGGCGACGAUACAUAGCCGACCUGAGAGGGUGAUCGGCCACACUGGGACUGAGACACGGCCCAGACUCCUACGGGAGGCAGCAGUAGGGAAUCUUCGGCAAUGGACGGAAGUCUGACCGAGCAACGCCGCGUGAGUGAAGAAGGUUUUCGGAUCGUAAAGCUCUGUUGUAAGGGAAGAACGAGUGUGAGAGUGGAAAGUUCACACUGUGACGGUAUCUGACCAGAAAGGGACGGCUAACUACGUG
This 496-nucleotide ribosomal RNA is filed under the name uncultured bacterium. RNAcentral's name for it is "partial 16S ribosomal RNA". It matches the Rfam family "Bacterial small subunit ribosomal RNA", at positions 28 to 507 of the family's 1533-position model. The record is from RNAcentral.